UCCCGCCCAACAGUCGCGGUCUUGACAGGAAGUGGAGCUCGUGUUUUCCAGAAGCCUUUAAGCUCGAUGUGAUGAGCACUUGGUGGAAAAUGCAUCAAGGUGGAGAAACAAUGGGAUUCAUUUCCAGCAGGAGCUUCUAGUGGAGCAGAUUGAGGAUGGAGGGGAGGAGGUGAAGUUGGAAAGCAGCUUCACUAACUGGCACCACGCCCAGAUGUUAGGUAACGCCGCGCUCUAAUCUGCAGACGACUUGUGGGAGAGGAGAGACGGAGAAUCCUCCCGGGACCCACGGCUCUGCAGCCUCUACACCAGCGAUGCAAUCAGUGCAAAAAUGAUAAAAUGAUAAAAAAACAAACUCUCCAACAGUCGAGCCGUAAAUUUCCUCAACUUUGAUGUUUUCAUUACGCAAAUCUAAUCCUGAUUAAGAUGAAAUGAUUCCUCAAGAGUCAGAAUCGUGAGUCAUGUUCAUCAGAGUUUAUUUCCUGGCUUUGACAUUUAUUAAAGAAAUAUGUCGGGGAAGCUCGGCCUGACAGAUUGUGUUCACUCACAUUCGCCACA
Pleuronectes platessa (European plaice) is the source of this 555-nucleotide long non-coding RNA. RefSeq lists it as uncharacterized. The transcript has 2 exons. The record is from RefSeq and is a predicted model, not a curated record. Lineage: Eukaryota; Metazoa; Chordata; Actinopteri; Pleuronectiformes; Pleuronectidae.